RNAcentral lists this ribosomal RNA (253 nucleotides) under uncultured bacterium. RNAcentral describes it as "partial 16S ribosomal RNA". It matches the Rfam family "Bacterial small subunit ribosomal RNA", at positions 524 to 776 of the family's 1533-position model. The record is from RNAcentral.
UACGGAGGGUGCGAGCGUUGUCCGGAAUCAUUGGGCGUAAAGGGCGCGUAGGUGGCGGGACAAGCGUGCGGUGAAAGCUCGGGGCUCAACCCCGCGUCGGCCGUGCGAACUGUUUUGCUGGAGCACUGUAGAGGCAGGCGGAAUUCCGGGUGUAGCGGUGGAAUGCGUAGAGAUCCGGAAGAACACCGGUGGCGAAGGCGGCCUGCUGGGCAGUUGCUGACACUGAGGCGCGAAGGCCAGGGGAGCAAACGGG